AGUUUUCUGAAUCCGUGUAGAGAUUUCAUCAGACACCAACUCUUCAGAGCUGAGCAGACUUUCAAGAGAAGUGAAGUU
Non-coding RNA from Schistosoma haematobium, 78 nucleotides. The record is from Rfam. Lineage: Eukaryota; Metazoa; Platyhelminthes; Trematoda; Strigeidida; Schistosomatidae.